RNAcentral lists this long non-coding RNA (459 nucleotides) under Homo sapiens (human). RNAcentral describes it as "HSALNT0354140". Lineage: Eukaryota; Metazoa; Chordata; Mammalia; Primates; Hominidae. The record is from RNAcentral.
CAGGCGAUGGAAGCCGUUAGGGCGUGGCGGAACCGGAAGGCGGCCUAGGGACGCACGCAGGCUCGGCUGUCUCUUUAGGCCACGGAGCUGCGUAGAUCCGGAACCCUGGGCGACUGAUCUGUCCCCAUUGGGCGAGACCUACCUAGACAAAGGCCUUAACAUACCGACAAAGGCCUUAAGGGGCCUGGGAGGCAUGAACCUUCAGAGCCCUGAGCUGCCUUGUAAGAAGUCUAGCUAGCAAUGCCACCAUGCUGGAGAGAUGAUGAGGGAAAACUACAUACAGACACAAACAGAGUGAGACACUCAAGAAGCCCUAGUUGUGGAAUACAGCAGUGCUAUGGAGGCUUGACAUAACCAUCUACUUUUCCAGAAACCCACAUUGUCUAAGGUAAAAUAACUGCUCUGGAAAAGAAGGCAAGAAAGUAAAACAAGGCAAUUUCACCACAGCCAUCAUCAGGA